Molecule: ribosomal RNA, 563 nt
Filed under: Paenibacillus sp.
Lineage: Bacteria; Bacillati; Bacillota; Bacilli; Caryophanales; Paenibacillaceae
Description: bacterial SSU rRNA
Rfam family: Bacterial small subunit ribosomal RNA
Source: RNAcentral
AGAUUGGGAAAGACGGCGCAAGCUGUCACUUGCAGAUGGGCCUGCGGUGCAUUAGCUAGUUGGUGGGGUAACGGCUCACCAAGGCGACGAUGCAUAGCCGACCUGAGAGGGUGAUCGGCCACACUGGGACUGAGACACGGCCCAGACUCCUACGGGAGGCAGCAGUAGGGAAUCUUCCGCAAUGGACGAAAGUCUGACGGAGCAACGCCGCGUGAGUGAUGAAGGUUUUCGGAUCGUAAAGCUCUGUUGCCAGGGAAGAACAGCCAGGCGAGUAACUGCGCUUGGAGUGACGGUACCUGAGAAGAAAGCCCCGGCUAACUACGUGCCAGCAGCCGCGGUAAUACGUAGGGGGCAAGCGUUGUCCGGAAUUAUUGGGCGUAAAGCGCGCGCAGGCGGCUUUGUAAGUUUGGUGUUUAAUCUCAGAGCUCAACUCUGAUUCGCAUCGAAAACUGCAAGGCUUGAGUGCAGAAGAGGAAAGUGGAAUUCCACGUGUAGCGGUGAAAUGCGUAGAGAUGUGGAGGAACACCAGUGGCGAAGGCGACUUUCUGGGCUGUAACUGACGC